RNAcentral lists this ribosomal RNA (681 nucleotides) under Triticum aestivum (bread wheat). Its description in RNAcentral is "partial small subunit ribosomal RNA". Lineage: Eukaryota; Viridiplantae; Streptophyta; Magnoliopsida; Poales; Poaceae. The record is from RNAcentral.
AUGGCGGUGGGCCGUGCUCUGGAGGCGCAGCUCUGUGUCCCGCCGCACCAUCUGCGCGUGACGGCGCACAACCAAGAGGACUUCUUCGUCAUCUUCACGCAGCCGGCCCACCACGACAACGCGGUCCGCCGCGGCUCCCUGCGUGUCGACGGCGCCAACUUCGCCAUCGCGCCGUGGGGGGGGGAUGACUAUGCUGGCCACGGCACCUUCAACCUCCACGUGCGCUGCGUCAUCGAGCAUCUACCUCAGCAGUACUGGACGCUGGAAGGCGUCCAAGAAGUCUUCGGCGACAAGGUGCUAGUGGAUCGGCUCGACAGCCGCACCCUGGAGCGCGACCACACCAAGACGUUCGCUUGCUGGGUGUGGGUUUGGGACAUGUCGUUCAUCCCCACCCGGCACACGUACUGGAAGCUGCCCCAGGGCGCCGGUCGGGUGGAGGAGAUGGACGGGUUCUCGCCGCCGGAACGCCGCGUCGCCCUCCCGCCCGGCGCGGAGCGCUAUGACUUGCUCAUCCAUGUCGACCGAGUCGAGGACUGGUCCCCCCGCUCCCCCAAGUCGUCGCACUCUGCUCAAAGCGGCCUGCCCUCCUCCGACUCCGACAACGACCUGCCCCGAACCAUCCCCGGCACCUGGAUCAUGCACGUCGAGGACGGCCAACCCAUGGAGCCCCAUCGCCGCUAG